AACACAUGCAAGUCGAGCGGUAGCACAGAGAGCUUGCUCUCGGGUGACGAGCGGCGGACGGGUGAGUAAUGUCUGGGAAACUGCCUGAUGGAGGGGGAUAACUACUGGAAACGGUAGCUAAUACCGCAUAACGUCGCAAGACCAAAGUGGGGGACCUUCGGGCCUCAUGCCAUCAGAUGUGCCCAGAUGGGAUUAGCUAGUAGGUGGGGUAAUGGCUCACCUAGGCGACGAUCCCUAGCUGGUCUGAGAGGAUGACCAGCCACACUGGAACUGAGACACGGUCCAGACUCCUACGGGAGGCAGCAGUGGGGAAUAUUGCACAAUGGGCGCAAGCCUGAUGCAGCCAUGCCGCGUGUAUGAAGAAGGCCUUCGGGUUGUAAAGU
RNAcentral lists this ribosomal RNA (383 nucleotides) under Klebsiella aerogenes. RNAcentral describes it as "bacterial SSU rRNA". It matches the Rfam family "Bacterial small subunit ribosomal RNA", at positions 50 to 431 of the family's 1533-position model. The record is from RNAcentral. Lineage: Bacteria; Pseudomonadati; Pseudomonadota; Gammaproteobacteria; Enterobacterales; Enterobacteriaceae.